AACAACGGGUGGAGCCUGCGGUUUAAUUGGACUCAACGCCGGACAACUCACCGGGGGCGACAGCACUAUGUAGGCCAGGCUGAAGACCUUGCCUGAAUCGCUGAGAGGAGGUGCAUGGCCGUCGCCAGUUCGUACUGUGAAGCAUCCUGUUAAGUCAGGCAACGAGCGAGACCCGUGCCCACUGUUACCAGCAUGUCCUCCGGGACGAUGGGUACUCUGUGGGGACCGCCGGUGUUAAAUCGGAGGAAGGUGCGGGCCACGGUAGGUCAGUAUGCCCCGAAUCUCCCGGGCUACACGCGGGCUACAAUGGAUGGGACAAUGGGUCCCUACCCCGAAAGGGGAUGGUAAUCUCACAAACCCAUUCUUAGUUCGGAUCGAGGGCUGUAACUCGCCCCCGUGAAGCUGGAAUCCGUAGUAAUCGCGUUUCAAUAUAGCGCGGUGAAUACGUCCCUGCUCC
RNAcentral lists this ribosomal RNA (457 nucleotides) under uncultured Methanosarcina sp. RNAcentral describes it as "bacterial SSU rRNA". It matches the Rfam family "Archaeal small subunit ribosomal RNA", at positions 880 to 1336 of the family's 1478-position model. Lineage: Archaea; Methanobacteriati; Methanobacteriota; Methanomicrobia; Methanosarcinales; Methanosarcinaceae. The record is from RNAcentral.